This 1228-nucleotide long non-coding RNA is filed under the name Chrysolophus pictus (golden pheasant). Its description in RNAcentral is "lncRNA (ENSCPIG00010001978.1)". The record is from RNAcentral. Lineage: Eukaryota; Metazoa; Chordata; Aves; Galliformes; Phasianidae.
GCCAUUAAUUCACACUUGGGUGGCACUUAUUGCCACUCAAUGUCACUUGGGUGCCACCAAAUGCCAUUUAUUGUCCCUAGCUGUCACUUGGGUGCCACUUGGAUGCCUCCUGGGUGCCACUAAGAACCACCAGAUGCCACCAAAAUCCAUUUAUUGUCCCCAGAUGCCACUUGGGUGCCAUUAAUUCACACUUGGGUGGCACUUAUUGCCACUCAAUGUCACUUGGGUGCCACCAAAUGCCAUUUAUUGUCCCUAGCUGUCACUUGGGUGCCACUUGGAUGCCUCCUGGGUGCCACUAAGAACCACCAGAUGCCACCAAAAUCCAUUUAUUGUCCCCAGAUGCCACUUGGGUGCCAUUAAUUCACACUUGGGUGGCACUUAUUGCCACUCAAUGUCACUUGGGUGCCACCAAAUGCCAUUUAUUGUCCCUAGCUGUCACUUGGGUGCCAUUAAGUCACACUUAUUAACACUUGAUGCCACUUAGGUGCCACCAGAUGUCAUUUAUUACCUCUAGAAGCCACUUUGGUGCCAUUCAGUCAUACUUGGGUGGCACUUAUUGACCUGAGAUGCCAUUUGGGGACCUCCAGGUGCCACCUGGGUGCCAUCAAAUGCCAUUUAUUGACCCCUGAUGCCACGCAGGUGCCUCCAGGUGGCAUUUGGGUUCCAUCAGAUGCCAUUUCUCAGCCCUCGAUGCCAUCCGCGUGCUUCCACGUGCCAUCAGAUGGCCAUUUCUCAGCCCUCAACGCCAUCUGGGAGCUGCUUUCAGGUGCCACCUGGGUUCCACCAGAUGCCAUUUCUUGGCCUCCAACGCCAUUUGUGUGCUUCCAGUUGCCAUUAGACGCCAUUUCUUCACCCCCAGUGCCAUCUGGGUGCCUCCAAGUGCCAUCUGGGUGCCUUCAGACGCCAUUUCUUGGCCCCCAGUGCCAUCUGGGUGCCUCCGGGUGCCAUGAGACACCACUAGUUGACCCUCAAUGCCAUCUGGGUUCUUCCAGGUGCCAUCAGAUGCCAUUUCUCAGCCUUCAACCACCUGGGUGCCAUCAAAUGCCAUUUAUUGACCCCUGAUGCCACUCAGGUGCCUCCAGGUGGCAUUUGGGUUCCAUCAGAUGCCAUUUCUCAGCCCUCGAUGCCACCUGGGUGCCUUUAGGUGCCAUCAGAUGCCCAUUUCUUGACCCCUGAUGCCACCUGCAUCUCUCAAGGGGUGGUUUGGGUUCCAUCAGAUGCCAUUUCU